This 460-nucleotide ribosomal RNA is filed under the name uncultured bacterium. RNAcentral describes it as "partial 16S ribosomal RNA". It matches the Rfam family "Bacterial small subunit ribosomal RNA", at positions 338 to 795 of the family's 1533-position model. The record is from RNAcentral.
CCUACGGGGGGCAGCAGUGAGGAAUAUUGGUCAAUGGGCGCGAGCCUGAACCAGCCAAGUAGCGUGAAGGAUGACUGCCCUACGGGUUGUAAACUUCUUUUAUAAAGGAAUAAAGUGAGGCACGUGUGCCUUUUUGUAUGUACUUUAUGAAUAAGGAUCGGCUAACUCCGUGCCAGCAGCCGCGGUAAUACGGAGGAUCCGAGCGUUAUCCGGAUUUAUUGGGUUUAAAGGGAGCGUAGAUGGGUUGUUAAGUCAGUUGUGAAAGUUUGUGGUCCAACCGUAAAAUUGCAAUUGAUACUGGCAGCCUUGAGUACAGUUGAGGUAGGCGGAAUUCGUGGUGUAGCGGUGAAAUGCUUAGAUAUCACGAAGAACUCCGAUUGCGAAGGCAGCUUACGAAACUGCCACUGACAUUGAUGCUCGAAAGUGUGGGUAUCAAACAGGAUUAGAUACCCCGGUAGUC